Poecilia latipinna (sailfin molly) is the source of this 98-nucleotide long non-coding RNA. RefSeq lists it as uncharacterized. NCBI's taxonomy places the organism in Eukaryota, Metazoa, Chordata, Actinopteri, Cyprinodontiformes, Poeciliidae. The record is from RefSeq and is a predicted model, not a curated record. The transcript is spliced from 3 exons.
GUGCAUUUCUUCAGAUGGCAGUAGUAGCUCAGGGAAGACGUGGAGCAGAUUGAUUUUUCAACAGAUUGUCUGUCUCAUAAUAAAUGUAAAAAACAACA